CAGUCGCCGCGGUAAUACAGAGGGUGCAAGCGUUAAUCGGAAUUACUGGGCGUAAAGCGCGCGUAGGUGGUUUGUUAAGUUGGAUGUGAAAUCCCCGGGCUCAACCUAGGAACUGCAUCCAAAACUGGCAAGCUAGAGUAUGGUAGAGGGUGGUGGAAUUUCCUGUGUAGCGGUGAAAUGCGUAGAUAUAGGAAGGAACACCAGUGGCGAAGGCGACCACCUGGACUGAUACUGACACUGAGGUGCGAAAGCGUGGGGAGCAAACAGGAUUAGAUACCCCAGUAGUCCCUGUCUCUUAUAC
Molecule: ribosomal RNA, 301 nt
Filed under: uncultured bacterium
Lineage: Bacteria
Description: partial 16S ribosomal RNA
Rfam family: Bacterial small subunit ribosomal RNA
Source: RNAcentral